Molecule: ribosomal RNA, 1288 nt
Filed under: metagenome
Description: bacterial LSU rRNA
Rfam family: Bacterial large subunit ribosomal RNA
Source: RNAcentral
UACAGGUGGGCGGGUAGAGAAUACCAAGGCGAUCGGGAGAACUAUGGUUAAGGAACUCGGCAAAAUGCCUCCGUAACUUCGGGAGAAGGAGGACCCCAUUAGGGUGAAGGACCUUGCGUCCGGAGCUCGAAGGGGUGGCACAGACCAGGGGAAAGCGACUGUUUACUAAAAACACAGCAGCGUGCGAAGUCGCAAGACGAUGUAUACGCUGUGACGCCUGCCCAAUGCCGGAAGGUUAAAGGGAAAGGUUAGUCCGCAAGGGCGAAGCUUUGAACUGAAGCCCCGGUGAAUGGCGGCCGUAACUAUAACGGUCCUAAGGUAGCGAAAUUCCUUGUCGGGUAAGUUCCGACCUGCACGAAUGGCGUAACGACUCUCCUACUGUCUCAACCAUAGACCCGGCGAAAUUGAAGUACGAGUAAAGAUGCUCGUUAGCUGCAGAAGGACGGAAAGACCCCGUGGACCUUUACUAUAGCUUGAUGUUGAGUUUUGUUAUGUGUUGUGUAGGAUAGGUGGGAGACUUGGAAACAUUGGCGCCAGCCAGUGCGGAGUCAACCUUGAAAUACCACCCUGCUCGUGACGGAGCUCUAACCCACGUCCCUGAUCGGGAUGGGGAACAGCGUCAGGUGGGUAGUUUGACUGGGGCGGUCGCCUCCUAAAGAGUAACGGAGGCGCCCAAAGGUUCCCUCAGACUGGUUGGCAAUCAGUCGUCGAGUGCAAUGGCACAAGGGAGCUUGACUGCGAGACCUACAAGUCAAGCAGGUGCGAAAGCAGGGCAUAGUGAUCCGGCGGUUGCGUGUGGAAGCGCCGUCGCUCAACGGAUAAAAGGUACCCCGGGGAUAACAGGCUCAUCUUCCCCAAGAGUCCAUAUCGACGGGAAGGUUUGGCACCUCGAUGUCGGCUCAUCGCAUCCUGAGGCUGAAGCAGGUCCCAAGGGUUGGGCUGUUCGCCCAUUAAAGCGGUACGCGAGCUGGGUUUAGAACGUCGUGAGACAGUUCGGUCCCUAUCCUCUGCAGCCGGAGGAAACUUGAGAAAGCCUGUCCCUAGUACGAGAGGACCGGGAUGGACGUAGCUCUCGUGUGUCAGUUGUCCUGCCAAGGGCAUUGCUGAUUAGCGACCUACGGAAGGGAUAAGCGCUGAAAGCAUCUAAGUGCGAAGCCUGUUUCUAGAUGAGGUUUCCCACUGGGUUAACCAGGUAAGGCCCGUGAUAGACCAACACGUUGAUAGGCCGGAGGUGUAAGCGUGGUAACACGUUCAGCCGACCGGUACUAAUCGGCCGAGGGCUUGGAUC